GGGGGCAAAGUGACAGGUGGUGCAUGGUUGUCGUCAGCUCGUGUCGUGAGAUGUUGGGUUAAGUCCCGCAACGAGCGCAACCCUUAUUGUUAGUUGCCAUCAUUUAGUUGGGCACUCUAGCAAGACUGCCGGUGACAAACCGGAGGAAGGUGGGGAUGACGUCAAAUCAUCAUGCCCCUUAUGACCUGGGCUACACACGUGCUACAAUGGGAAGUACAACGAGUCGCGAAGUCGCGAGGCUAAGCUAAUCUCUUAAAGCUUCUCUCAGUUCGGAUUGUAGGCUGCAACUCGCCUACAUGAAGCCGGAAUCGCUAGUAAUCGCGGAUCAGCACGCCGCGGUGAAUACGUUCCCGGGCCUUGUACACACCGCCCGUCACACCACGAAAGUUUGUAACACCCGAAGUCGGUGAGGU
RNAcentral lists this ribosomal RNA (413 nucleotides) under Enterococcus thailandicus. RNAcentral's name for it is "bacterial SSU rRNA". It matches the Rfam family "Bacterial small subunit ribosomal RNA", at positions 1022 to 1436 of the family's 1533-position model. The record is from RNAcentral. Lineage: Bacteria; Bacillati; Bacillota; Bacilli; Lactobacillales; Enterococcaceae.